Long non-coding RNA from Quercus lobata, 996 nucleotides. RefSeq lists it as uncharacterized. The record is from RefSeq and is a predicted model, not a curated record. The transcript has 3 exons. Lineage: Eukaryota; Viridiplantae; Streptophyta; Magnoliopsida; Fagales; Fagaceae.
ACACAUGGAAAUAGAUAGAAAUAGAGAUGCGAUGAAAGAGAGGCAGAGAGGCAACGAAAGAGAUAAAGAGAAGCAGAGAAAGAGAGAGAGAAAUACGAUAUACACGGAGAGAGAUACGAUAUACGAUAGAAAUAGAGGGGGGCAAUGAGGCCUGGGACACGGAGAGAGAAACAGAGAAGAGAAAGAGGCAGAACGGUAAAGAGUACAUCGAUUGGGCAUAAGAAAUCAAAACAGGAUUACUGUCAGUUUUUCCGCCGCCAUCCGUUCCCUCGCCAGACUCAGAACACCGAAACCGUAGGCAAACACAGGAAUUGAUAUUGAGGGAGAGAAAUCUAAGUGCCAUUAACUCCGUCGAUCAGAUCGCCGAAAUUGCCACCGGUACUAGAAACAGAGUUAAUUGUGUUGAUGGCUCUAUAGUUAAAGACAUCGAAUGCUCUAAUUUAGCUGGUGUUACUCUUGAAAGGUCUUUUGAUGGUUCACAAGAUAAUAAAUCUUCUAAGUGCUUCAAAUGUCCUUCAGAGAAGGCAAUUCUUUCAUUCCUUUGGCUUAGAGCGUCUAUAAAGAUGUGCAUUGUUGUGGUUUCUAGCAACUCAAGUUUUUAAUUUUGGCCUUCACAAUGACUUCCACUCAUGAUUUGCAUGUUCUAAAAUCUAAAUUGCAGGGGAUGAUGAAGUCUUUGAUGUAUACUGUGUUACUUUUGAAAUGGUGUGCUUAAUGGUGCUAUGCAUGCUUCUUACAUGGAGUUUAAUGUACAAUCUCUGUUAGAGUCUAAAGUUGCACCACUACUAUGUUCCUGUUAUUGUAUUUAGUUAUAAAAUAUUCAUUGACGUACUUUUAAUUAAUAAGCAGUUGUUAGCAAAUAUUAAGGUAGUUAGCAUUGUACUGGGAUUACUGUAUGUGUAGUCUUAGGUUGUCUUAAGACGAUUCGCGGUCACAUUCUAAUUAAAUGAAAUCAUACUGAGUUCAAGCUUGAGGCUGAGCUGAUAUUGUAUGAAA